UACAUGAAAGGCCAAACCUCGGUUUGGCAGGGACGGAAAGCCACGGGUUUCAUGAGAAAGCCGGGUUGCCAUU
RNAcentral lists this non-coding RNA (73 nucleotides) under Desulfobacterales bacterium. RNAcentral describes it as "c-di-GMP sequence". It matches the Rfam family "c-di-GMP-I riboswitch aptamer". Rfam says of the family: GEMM was predicted in a large-scale screen for bacterial structured RNA regulatory elements. Genes associated with GEMM are involved in a diverse array of functions, including chemotaxis regulation, signal transduction, secretion and chitin. The record is from RNAcentral. Lineage: Bacteria; Pseudomonadati; Thermodesulfobacteriota; Desulfobacteria; Desulfobacterales.